UACAGAUCAAAUAUUUCAUAAUCUCACCUUUUGGAAUGAUCAUCUUGUCAUUCUUAUCCAGGGACUUGCCUUCCUAAAUCAGAGGAAGUGCCCUGGAGCCAAUGUGUGCUUCUGUGUAUCUAAAAUUAAGUAUCCAGUUGGUGGUUAAAUUAAGACCUGACCUUGUACAACUGAAACAUAAGCGGUCUCUGGCACACGGUAAAGUAUUACCCAUGACUUCUCUAGACUCUCAUCAAAAGAAACGCAAGCCUACAGAGGUAUAAUAAGAUUAUCUCUGUCCUGAUUGGUUCAAAGAACUCUUAUGAAAACAAAGGACCUGCCAAUUCAGCUGCAGGGAGUGUUGCUACUGAUGGAACAAAACCAAACCACUUGGAAUUAACGCACAAUUUAAAGACUGAAAAUCAAACAACUGAAAACAUGAGCCAAAUCUAUUAGCACUGAACUCCUCCAACAGCACUGAUGUCACAGGCCCCUGGAAGAAUCCACGUUGUUGACAUUACUCUGGUCAUUUAGUUGCCAUGUAGCCAAGCAAAGAGAUGGGGUUUGACCUUGUUGUCCAGGCUGGUUUCAAACUCCUGAGUUCGAGCAAUCUACCCACCCUUCAAAGUGUUGGGAUCACAGAUAUUUUACCAUUACAAUAUAGAUGGAGAUUUUCAUCUAUUAAUAAAAGAUGUUCUCUAUUCACAAAUGGAAAUGGAGCAACAGUACACAAUUUCUGCCCCAGAAUUCAUGGCUGGUGCAGAUGGAAAUAUUGGCAUAGUUCCAGAGGAGUUAAAGGACUCACCCAGGCCGUACAGCUGGU
This 802-nucleotide long non-coding RNA is filed under the name Homo sapiens (human). RNAcentral describes it as "HSALNT0128357". Lineage: Eukaryota; Metazoa; Chordata; Mammalia; Primates; Hominidae. The record is from RNAcentral.